UCGGGAAUUUUGGGCAAUGGGCGAAAGCCUGACCCAGCAACGCCGCGUGAAGGAUGAAGUAUUUCGGUAUGUAAACUUCGUAAGAAUAGGAAGAAUAAAUGACGGUACUAUUUGUAAGGUCCGGCUAACUACGUGCCAGCAGCCGCGGUAAUACGUAGGGACCAAGCGUUGUUCGGAUUUACUGGGCGUAAAGGGCGCGUAGGCGGUUUGUCAAGUCAGUUGUGAAAUCUCCGAGCUUAACUCGGAACGGUCAACUGAUACUGUCAAACUAGAGUACAGAAGGGGCAAUCGGAAUUCUUGGUGUAGCGGUGAAAUGCGUAGAUAUCAAGAGGAACACCUGAGGCGAAGGCGGGUUGCUGGGCUGAUACUGACGCUGAAGCGCGAAAGCUAGGGUAGCAAACAGGAUUAGAUACCCACGUAGUCCCUGAGCGGGCUGGCAAGGCGCAU
This 447-nucleotide ribosomal RNA is filed under the name uncultured bacterium. RNAcentral's name for it is "bacterial SSU rRNA". It matches the Rfam family "Bacterial small subunit ribosomal RNA", at positions 355 to 825 of the family's 1533-position model. The record is from RNAcentral.